Molecule: ribosomal RNA, 374 nt
Filed under: uncultured prokaryote
Description: bacterial SSU rRNA
Rfam family: Bacterial small subunit ribosomal RNA
Source: RNAcentral
UACGUAGGUGGCAAGCGUUGUCCGGAUUUACUGGGCGUAAAGCGCGCGCAGGCGGGCUGGUCAGUCCGGGGUGAAAUCUCACGGCUCAACCGUGAGCGGUCCCCGGAUACUGCCAGUCUUGAGGUGUCUAGAGGAGAGCGGAAUUCCCGGUGUAGUGGUGGAAUGCGUAGAUAUCGGGAAGAACACCAGUGGCGAAAGCGGCUCUCUGGGGACCACCUGACGCUGAGGCGCGAAAGCGUGGGGAGCGAACCGGAUUAGAUACCCGGGUAGUCCACGCCGUAAACGAUGAGCACUAGCUGUCGGGGGUAUCGACCCCCUCGGUAGCGCAGCUAACGCGAUAAGUGCUCCGCCUGGGGACUACGGCCGCAAGGCUA